This is a non-coding RNA of Triticum urartu, 594 nucleotides long. NCBI's taxonomy places the organism in Eukaryota, Viridiplantae, Streptophyta, Magnoliopsida, Poales, Poaceae. The record is from RefSeq and is a predicted model, not a curated record.
ACAUCUAUUUGGUUUCCCUUUUUUCCGUGAAGUUAUUUUUUUCCAAAUACUUUUAGUAACUUGACCUACUUGCUUAUCCCUGAUUCUAGUGAAAAUGCAGCUCAUAAGAUGAAUGUACAAAGUGCAAGCUCUACGACAUCUGAGGAGAUAAGGCUUGUGAAUUCAGGAAACACAUAACAAUUUCCACCUCUUUGAGAAGGUUGGUAGUUGGGAAGGGCGUGAUGAACGGAAGCGGCACAAUGUCAUAACUUUGAGUUCAUCCUACAUUAGGAGUGGCGACAACAAACUUGCACAGCCGGUUAUCAUAAAACCCAUUGUUGAUAACAAUCACAGCAAUGCACAGGCACACAUUACAGUUCUACAAAAAUCAGAAAUUAGCCUGCAUACGGACAUGUCAAUGCCAAUCAAUUUUUUUUCUCCGACAGGCACCUAAAUGCAUGUCAUAUUUGUACUAGCGCAUACCAACGUUGUACCACUAGCCUGUCACCAGGUGAUAACCAAAGCCUCCAAAGAUCACUGUAUUCCAGGAAGUACUAGCGCACGAAUUUUGUGUUCCACCUUACAAGUUCAAACAGAUAAAAGGAUUGGAUCUUA